This 437-nucleotide ribosomal RNA is filed under the name uncultured bacterium. RNAcentral describes it as "bacterial SSU rRNA". It matches the Rfam family "Bacterial small subunit ribosomal RNA", at positions 335 to 770 of the family's 1533-position model. The record is from RNAcentral.
ACUCCUACGGGAGGCAGCAGUGAGGAAUCUUGCGCAAUGGGGCAGCCAUCGACGCAGCCACGCCGCGUGCUGGAAGACGGCCCUAUGGGUUGUAAACAGCUUUUACUAGGGAAGAACCUGGACCUUUCGAGGACCACUGACGGUACCUAGUGAAUAAGCACCGGCUAACUCCGUGCCAGCAGCCGCGGUAAUACGGAGGGUGCAAGCGUUGUCCGGAAUCAUUGGGUGUAAAGGGUGUGCAGGCGGAAGUCUAAGUCGGAGGUGAAAUCUUGCCGCUUAACGGUAAAAGGGCCUUCGAUACUGGAUUUCUUGAGUUCGGAAGAGGUUGGUGGAAUUCGUGGUGUAGCGGUGAAAUGCAUAGAUAUCACGAAGAACACCAGUGGCGAAGGCGGCCAACUGGUCCGAUACUGACGCUGAUACACGAGAGCGUGGGAGCG